GAUGAACGCUGGCGGCGUGCCUAAUACAUGCAAGUCGAGCGAACAGAUAAGGAGCUUGCUCCUUUGACGUUAGCGGCGGACGGGUGAGUAACACGUGGGUAACCUACCUAUAAGACUGGGAUAACUUCGGGAAACCGGAGCUAAUACCGGAUAAUAUUUCGAACCGCAUGGUUCGAUAGUGAAAGAUGGUUUUGCUAUCACUUAUAGAUGGACCCGCGCCGUAUUAGCUAGUUGGUAAGGUAACGGCUUACCAAGGCGACGAUACGUAGUCGACCUGAGAGGGUGAUCGGCCACACUGGAACUGAGACACGGUCCAGACUCCUACGGGAGGCAGCAGUAGGGAAUCUUCCGCAAUGGGCGAAAGCCUGACGGAGCAACGCCGCGUGAGUGAUGAAGGUCUUCGGAUCGUAAAACUCUGUUAUUAGGGAAGAACAUACGUGUAAGUAACUGUGCACGUCUUGACGGUACCUAAUCAGAAAGCCACGGCUAACUACGUG
RNAcentral lists this ribosomal RNA (497 nucleotides) under uncultured bacterium. RNAcentral describes it as "partial 16S ribosomal RNA". It matches the Rfam family "Bacterial small subunit ribosomal RNA", at positions 28 to 507 of the family's 1533-position model. The record is from RNAcentral.